Molecule: ribosomal RNA, 498 nt
Filed under: uncultured bacterium
Lineage: Bacteria
Description: partial 16S ribosomal RNA
Rfam family: Bacterial small subunit ribosomal RNA
Source: RNAcentral
GAUGAACGCUGGCGGCGUGCCUAAUACAUGCAAGUCGAGCGAACAGACGAGGAGCUUGCUCCUCUGACGUUAGCGGCGGACGGGUGAGUAACACGUGGAUAACCUACCUAUAAGACUGGGAUAACUUCGGGAAACCGGAGCUAAUACCGGAUAAUAUAUUGAACCGCAUGGUUCAAUAGUGAAAGACGGUUUUGCUGUCACUUAUAGAUGGAUCCGCGCCGCAUUAGCUAGUUGGUAAGGUAACGGCUUACCAAGGCAACGAUGCGUAGCCGACCUGAGAGGGUGAUCGGCCACACUGGAACUGAGACACGGUCCAGACUCCUACGGGAGGCAGCAGUAGGGAAUCGUCCGCAAUGGGCGAAAGCCUGACGGAGCAACGCCGCGUGAGUGAUGAAGGUCUUCGGAUCGUAAAACUCUGUUAUUAGGGAAGAACAAAUGUGUAAGUAACUAUGCACGUCUUGACGGUACCUAAUCAGAAAGCCACGGCUAACUACGUGC